AUGCAGUCGAGCGGAACGAGUUAUCUGAACCUUCGGGGGACGAUAACGGCGUCGAGCGGCGGACGGGUGAGUAAUGCCUAGGAAAUUGCCCUGAUGUGGGGGAUAACCAUUGGAAACGAUGGCUAAUACCGCAUAAUGCCUACGGGCCAAAGAGGGGGACCUUCGGGCCUCUCGCGUCAGGAUAUGCCUAGGUGGGAUUAGCUAGUUGGUGAGGUAAUGGCUCACCAAGGCGACGAUCCCUAGCUGGUCUGAGAGGAUGAUCAGCCACACUGGAACUGAGACACGGUCCAGACUCCUACGGGAGGCAGCAGUGGGGAAUAUUGCACAAUGGGCGCAAGCCUGAUGCAGCCAUGCCGCGUGUGUGAAGAAGGCCUUCGGGUUGUAAAGCACUUUCAGUCGUGAGGAAGGUGGUAUUGUUAAUAGCAGUAUCAUUUGACGUUAGCGACAGAAGAAGCACCGGCUAACUCCGUGCCAGCAGCCGCGGUAAUACGGAGGGUGCGAGCGUUAAUCGGAAUUACUGGGCGUAAAGCGCAUGCAGGUGGUUUGUUAAGUCAGAUGUGAAAGCCCGGGGCUCAACCUCGGAAUAGCAUUUGAAACUGGCAGACUAGAGUACUGUAGAGGGGGGUAGAAUUUCAGGUGUAGCGGUGAAAUGCGUAGAGAUCUGAAGGAAUACCGGUGGCGAAGGCGGCCCCCUGGACAGAUACUGACACUCAGAUGCGAAAGCGUGGGGAGCAAACAGGAUUAGAUACCCUGGUAGUCCACGCCGUAAACGAUGUCUACUUGGAGGUUGUGGCCUUGAGCCGUGGCUUUCGGAGCUAACGCGUUAAGUAGACCGCCUGGGGGAGUACGGUCGCAAGAUUAAAACUCAAAUGAAUUGACGGGGGCCCGCACAAGCGGUGGGAGCAUGUGGUUUUAAUUCGAUGCAACGCGAAAGAACCUUACCUACUCUUGACAUCCAGAGAACUUUCCAGAAAAUGGAUUGGUGGCCUUCGGGAAACUCUGAAAACAGGUG
This 1012-nucleotide ribosomal RNA is filed under the name Vibrio alginolyticus. RNAcentral describes it as "bacterial SSU rRNA". It matches the Rfam family "Bacterial small subunit ribosomal RNA", at positions 55 to 1040 of the family's 1533-position model. The record is from RNAcentral. Lineage: Bacteria; Pseudomonadati; Pseudomonadota; Gammaproteobacteria; Vibrionales; Vibrionaceae.